UGCUCCUGAGGCGACCAACGCUGCGCUGAAUAGCAUAGAGAGCCCAUCUGACCGCACUACACGGUGGCGCCUACGUGCAUGUCACAUCCAUCGAGGUGGUGCUGUAGUGUCUGUGAGCAGCGAAGAGCCACUCUCCUCCCCGCUGCGCUGUGUGCGGUGCUUCGUGACGUCUGCCAAAGGCGCAGAAAAAAAAAACAAAAUCCGGGCGCCGCUGCGCAGACGUACACUUGCAUACGCCUCCACACGUGAUCAUCUGCCGAUAAGUGAGGGCAGUAUCACGAGCAGCUGCGGACUGCGCUUGCCAUGCAAGGCAAGCGCUUCGCAACGCCAACGGGGAGGCCCGGGAUGCGUCAAGGAGGCUACACGCAGCUGCACGCCGUGUCUUCCUCCACCUCGCCCGGGCGGUGGGCGACAGCGAAGCACUGCGCCCUCAGUGCUUCGCAGAAAGAGCGGUACGCAUCCCAGGCACGUUCGCGUCCGCGCCCGACUGAAGCGCACGCACUCUCAUCCUCAACACCGGAGCGACGGCUUCAGGCGGUGCAGAGAAGCAGCACACAGAGCAGCAUGCCAAGUACCUCGGUGCAUCACAUGCUCAAUGAGUUAGUCGACCUUAGCCACAGCAUUGCUGCUCUACUGGAACAGGGGCAAGUGUUAUCGCUCACCGCCGCCCCUAGUGCAGCGGACCGGCAACAGGAGGCGAGUCUCAAGACGCAGGAAAUCGAACGCAUUGUGCGCAGGGUGGAGGCGCACUUCGUCGAUCGCAUUCAGUCGCUGGAAACGUUAAAUGCCUCCUUGUCGGAGGAGGUCCGGCAGCUGCGUGGGGCGCUUGCGACGCAGCGCACCAACGGUGCUGCAGGUCGGGCGAACGCACUGCACGACAUACGCGGUAGUGAACUGCAAGAAGAUUCGAAGAUGUUGGAUGCUUGGGAAAAGGCGUCGUGGGGCGAGACCGGCAACGGUGCUGCCGCCAGCGAAGUCGAGCACCUGCGGCGCGUACUGGUGGCGGAAAAGCGCCAGCGUUUGCGUGUUGAGGAGCAGACGCAGUCGCUGACGGAGCAGCAUGCGAAGGUGGUGGGGACGCUGGAGCGGCGACUCAAAAAACAAGAGGAGCAGCUCUACGAUCUCAUCGCUGCCAUCGACAGGGGCUACGGGGGCGGGUCAGCCACGACGUCUGCUUCUCCAACACGCUGCACCGAGCGCGGCUCCUCUCAUAGGCUUCCCACGCCACGCCACCUCCUCCGCCAGCAGCUUGCGCAACACCAGCAGACGCAGCGGGCACUGCAGCAGUACAAGGAGAACCUCCUCCUUGAGCCUACGUCUCCGGUGGGGAGCGACGCGGUGGCGGCCACCAUGAAGGAGCUUGGGUUGGAUGACGUGCGGCGCACUCUAGAGUUGAUUAGGUCAAGCAAACCCCUCUCCGUGCAGGAGCACCAUCAUGACCAAGAGGAAACCCAUGCAACGCCGGCUGUUUGUUUACCACCACAUGCUGUCCGCGAUGGGCCGGCGGUAGUGCACUCGCCUAGAGUCUGUUCACGGGUGCCGCCACCUGCUGAUCGAGCAGCUUGCACCUCAGCGAACGAAGUGGACGAAAUCACGGCGUUCCUCGAGAACAUUACGAAGGAGCUGGAGAGCCUUGACUCUCAGUAGCUCAGCGACGGCACUGUAUACGUUCCCCCCUGCUUAGGGGCUGCUCUUCUAAUGCUCGUUCUUCUCGAGCUCUCCUGCCCUUCAUCUUGCGCCGCACAUACCACCGAUGGCCUGUGGUUUUGCGGCGAGCAGCAGCUGUGCUGCGUCUGUAUUGCGGUGAGUGCUAUUUGUGCGUGUGGGGAGGAGUGGGGGGGGGUGGACCGCGUUUCCUACCCGGACGGACGUCGGUUGAAACUCGCUUCGCGGUCCCCCUUCUCACCCCCUCACCGCUUCGCCGCCACUCCACUUCUCAAAGAAAGUGAAGGAGAGAAGCAGCCUCAUUCCGUUGCUGCGCACCACGGCGUAUUUGUGGCAGCUUCAACAGACGCGCGCUGACGCAUCGACAUGGACGUUGUUUUUGGAGCUUGUUUUCUUUCCACACCAUGGACGGGAGUAGUUAGCUCGAUCAGGAAGACGGCAUGCCGCUGCAGCCAUCUCGUUCCCCUCGUCCCU
This 2139-nucleotide unclassified non-coding RNA is filed under the name Leishmania donovani. RNAcentral's name for it is "gene:LdHU3.32.0290(CDS-product:hypothetical_prote in_conserved)". The record is from RNAcentral. Lineage: Eukaryota; Euglenozoa; Kinetoplastea; Trypanosomatida; Trypanosomatidae.